UACGUAGGGUGCAAGCGUUAAUCGGAAUUACUGGGCGUAAAGCGUGCGCAGGCGGUUUUGUAAGACAGGCGUGAAAUCCCCGGGCUUAACCUGGGAACUGCGUUUGUGACUGCAAGGCUAGAGUGUGGCAGAGGGGGGUAGAAUUCCGCGUGUAGCAGUGAAAUGCGUAGAUAUGCGGAGGAAUACCGAUGGCGAAGGCAGCCCCCUGGGUCAACACUGACGCUCAUGCACGAAAGCGUGGGGAGCAAACAGG
RNAcentral lists this ribosomal RNA (253 nucleotides) under uncultured bacterium. RNAcentral describes it as "partial 16S ribosomal RNA". It matches the Rfam family "Bacterial small subunit ribosomal RNA", at positions 524 to 776 of the family's 1533-position model. The record is from RNAcentral.